ACCGGGAGUCGAACCCGCGACGUCCGCGUCAAGGACUAAGGCCUCCAAACGUGGGGCGUGCUAACCCCCUGCGCCACCACAGCACGCCCCUUAAUUAAGUUUUAAAACAUUUUCAAAGCAGAACUCAUCAUGCAGCGUUAGAGCGUAGGCUAUUAUUUUGGUAGGAGCAGCCAAAUUACAAAUUGCUAGAAAUUACUCCAUGCCUAAUCUCAAGUUACUGAAGAAUUGGAUUGUAAUUCAUGUUAAAAUAAAAAGCAAAUCGGACUUCUCCACGUUUGCGAGAUGCUGACAAAACAGCUAAUGAACAGAGAACUGCUUUUGAAAUCAUCUUGUUCCGACAGCUUUUUUUUUUCUUCUCCUGAUUGAGCCUAGUAUCUAUUACGUUGGCAAAAAUUGCUCUCGGUGGAAGAAACGGCAAAUGUCGGGUGAAAUUUUAACCCAUCC
Xiphophorus hellerii (green swordtail) is the source of this 444-nucleotide long non-coding RNA. RefSeq lists it as uncharacterized. The record is from RefSeq and is a predicted model, not a curated record. Lineage: Eukaryota; Metazoa; Chordata; Actinopteri; Cyprinodontiformes; Poeciliidae. The transcript has 2 exons.